Molecule: long non-coding RNA, 425 nt
Organism: Gallus gallus (chicken)
Lineage: Eukaryota; Metazoa; Chordata; Aves; Galliformes; Phasianidae
Exons: 3
Source: RefSeq, a predicted model, not a curated record
UGAUCGGGGCAUGCCCAGGGCUGGGCUGGGUGUGGAAAAGCCACCUCUGUGAUGGCAUAGUGCAAGGGCCAGGCCACAGGACAGUAUGUGCCAGGUCACAUGCUGACUGCAGUCUAUAUAAUUGCAAUAUCAUUCUUCUUCUAAUCUACUGUAAAACCUGAACUGUGAGCAAACACCCAUGGAAACCAGUGGGAGUAUUUCCAAAGAAUUCUUCAUAUGAAGUCCCUUAAAGUUAAUUCUUCAGACUAUAGCAACAAUUCCCAAGGGGUGAACUUAGAAGUUCCAGGCACCUGUCCAGAAUAGAAGAACUACAUACCCCAGAAGACCUUACUUUCAGAGAGGAGAUACAACCCCUGGCAAGGUCACAAGACCUCCGCUUUUUUGCAGCUCUCCUCCCUACUGCUCAACCCAACUGCAUAUCUCAC